GCGCGAACCAUACGUGUCAUGCCAUGCUUAAACAAAAUUUAUUCCACAUGCAACGGGACGGAGUACUUCAGUAGAACUCUAAUCCCAACUCUAAAAUCUCGAUUAUUUCAACACUUAUGUCUCAACUAACCUCAACUCUAUCAUCUCAAACCUCUCAUUCCAACAGGACUGGCGCCCAGAGAGCAAAGCUCGACCAGGGACCUUACCUCCAAUCCGGUCACUUAACUCUCAGCCUUAGCCUUUUGGCUCUCUUAUCCAAUAAGACUGGCGCCCCGAGAGCAAAGCUCGACCAGGGACCUUACCUCCAGUCUGGUCACUUAAGUAUCCAAAUAAGAAAUCUAAUAGCCAUUCGACUCUCUUAAUCCAAUAAGACUGGCGCCCCGAGAGCAAAGCUCGACCAGGGACCUUACCUCCAGUCUGGUCACUUAAAUAUCCAAAUAAGAAAUCUAAUAGCCAUUCGACUCUCUUAAUCCAAUAAGACUGGCGCCCCGAGAGCAAAGCUCGACCAGGGACCUUACCUCCAGUCUGGUCACUUAAAUAUCCAAAUAAGCCGGCGCCCCGAGAGCAAUGCUCGACCAGGGACCUUUACUCCGGCAACCACACUCUACUAAGCCCAGAGAGCGAUGCUCGACCAGGGCAGGUCCUAAUCUUUCUUUCUCAAAAUCUUUACCUCUUUACCCUUUUCUUAUCUCUCUCAUAUUAUAUUGGACACUCAUCCAACUCCUAUGUUCUACUGCCGUCCCAUCCUGAGUCAUCAUGCAAUAUUAAAAUUGGUAAUAAAGGAAAAACAUAUUUAAAUAGUAAUUAAAAGCAUCAUUCAAAUGAUAAUAAUAAUAAUUGAAUGAAAAAUUGAAAUUGCAAAUAAAUAUUCUCAGUAGCAAAUCAAAUUUUAUGCAUGACACGUGCGUAAACGAUAUAUGACUUUAACUCAC
This 932-nucleotide long non-coding RNA is filed under the name Ricinus communis (castor bean). Its description in RNAcentral is "long non-coding RNA (RCOM_LNC000062)". The record is from RNAcentral. Lineage: Eukaryota; Viridiplantae; Streptophyta; Magnoliopsida; Malpighiales; Euphorbiaceae.